This 491-nucleotide unclassified non-coding RNA is filed under the name Pithocarpa corymbulosa. RNAcentral describes it as "partial external transcribed spacer". Lineage: Eukaryota; Viridiplantae; Streptophyta; Magnoliopsida; Asterales; Asteraceae. The record is from RNAcentral.
UUUUGGCUAAUGGCGGCUUCCCUUGCAUUUGAGCUUGGUUGGUGGUUGUUAGCUGGGUGGUUUCGGGGAUGUCUACCGUAAAGGUGCAUGAGUGGUGUUUGGUUUGUUACGGGUGGUUGGCUCUUUGCUUGCGCAACAACUUCCACCUGGCAUACCUCUUCAGUUAUGUGUCAAUGCUUGUAUCGCAUUGAAUGCGCGGUGGGUUUACUGUGUUGCAUGCCUAAAUGAUGGUAUUGUUUGACGAAUCGAUUUCUAUUUUUGUCUUGUGUCGCACAUGCGAUGUGAGAUGAACCAUAAAGCAGACUUUGUGAUCCCCUCUUUUAAUGCAUAAGCAUUGAUUUUGUGGCUCAUUGAGUGCUGCUUGUUCUCAUGGAUAUGGAACCUUGUGUGGGCAUGGGAUCUUAUACUAGCUCCUUGUUUGCCCUGGUUAAGCUUUUCAAAUACGAUUUCCUAUCAAGUCCUGACGUGGUAGGCUACAUCGAAUAUGAAUG